Molecule: long non-coding RNA, 502 nt
Filed under: Bemisia tabaci
Lineage: Eukaryota; Metazoa; Arthropoda; Insecta; Hemiptera; Aleyrodidae
Description: lncRNA ENSSSA1NGG008439
Source: RNAcentral
GUAAAAUUGUUCUCUUUGAGCAGAAACGUAUUUAUUAUUACAUCCAUUGAAGAGAUGAAUUAAAAGCAAAUUAUUAACCAUAUCUGUUUUUUUAUAGAUUCAAACGUGUAGAAGCUAUUCCACCACCGAAUUUCAGAGAACGAUUUCUAUAUUGAUACGGAAAGACUCUCAGAAAAUCAAUAUGUCACAGGAUUCUGAAGUCAACGGUCACGUUUGUGCAAAGCUACCAUACAAGAUCCUAGAGGAUAAGGAUCUUGGACGGCACGUGGUGGCCACUCGUGACAUGGAGGUCGGAGAGGUGGUGCUGGAGGAAAUGCCAUUGGUGAUGGGCCCUGCACAAGCGACUGAACCCGUGUGUCUUGGUUGUUUGAACGCCCUGCAGAAGGGACAAAUUGAGAGUGCGAGCGAUGUGGUUGGCCAGUUUGCUCACAGAAGUGCGCUGCGUCCAAGCACCAUAGAGCCGAGUGCGACUGGACUAUCAACAAGCGAGGACAGAAGGUAA